GCAUCCACUGGAAGAUGUCGAGGUUCCCGCUGCCUAAUAAAGAGGCAAAUUCGUAGGUUCGAUUCCUGCUGGAUGCAC
Molecule: transfer RNA, 78 nt
Filed under: Nitraria tangutorum
Lineage: Eukaryota; Viridiplantae; Streptophyta; Magnoliopsida; Sapindales; Nitrariaceae
Description: tRNA-Ile
Source: RNAcentral